This 253-nucleotide ribosomal RNA is filed under the name uncultured bacterium. RNAcentral's name for it is "partial 16S ribosomal RNA". It matches the Rfam family "Bacterial small subunit ribosomal RNA", at positions 524 to 776 of the family's 1533-position model. The record is from RNAcentral.
UACGUAGGUGGCAAGCGUUGUCCGGAAUUAUUGGGCGUAAAGGGCGUGUAGGCGGUCUGCUAAGUCAUGUGUGAAAUCCCUCGGCUUAACCGAGGAACGACGCAUGAAACUGGCAAGCUAGAGUACCAAAGAGGGGGGUGGAAUUCCCGGUGUAGCGGUGAAAUGCGUAGAUAUCGGGAGGAACAUCAGUGGCGAAGGCGGCCUGCUGGGCUGUUGCUGACGCUGAGGCGCGACAGCGUGGGGAGCAAACAGG